CCUACGGGGGGCUGCAGUGAGGAAUAUUGGUCAAUGGGCGCGAGCCUGAACCAGCCAAGUCGCGUGAGGGAUGAAGGUUCUAUGGAUCGUAAACCUCUUUUAUAAGGGAAUAAAGUGUGGGACGUGUCCUAUUUUGUAUGUACCUUAUGAAUAAGGAUCGGCUAACUCCGUGCCAGCAGCCGCGGUAAUACGGAGGAUCCGAGCGUUAUCCGGAUUUAUUGGGUUUAAAGGGUGCGUAGGCGGCUUGUUAAGUCAGUGGUGAAAGUCUGUGGCUCAACCAUAAAAUUGCAGUUGAAACUGGGAGUCUUGAGUAUAUUUGAGGUAGGCGGAAUGCGUGGUGUAGCGGUGAAAUGCUUAGAUAUCACGAAGAACCCCGAUUGCGAAGGCAGCCUGCCAAGCCAUGACUGACGCUGAUGCACGAAAGCGUGGGGAUCAAACAGGAUUAGAUACCCUAGUAGUC
RNAcentral lists this ribosomal RNA (460 nucleotides) under uncultured bacterium. RNAcentral describes it as "partial 16S ribosomal RNA". It matches the Rfam family "Bacterial small subunit ribosomal RNA", at positions 338 to 795 of the family's 1533-position model. The record is from RNAcentral.